Molecule: long non-coding RNA, 418 nt
Organism: Nanorana parkeri
Lineage: Eukaryota; Metazoa; Chordata; Amphibia; Anura; Dicroglossidae
Exons: 3
Source: RefSeq, a predicted model, not a curated record
UUUGACAACAGCCUGGAGGUGAAGCUGUGGCAGUUGGACUCCUGGCCCCUCGACAAACCAAUCCCGGAGAAUCCAGCGGCUAUCAUCAAUCUGAUUGCAGAGGUGGAGAAAUGCCCAUCACAUGUGCCUGGGAGUCACACGCUGGUGACCUGCUGCGAUGGGGCAAGUCGCUCAGGUCUCUUCUGUGCCGGUGUCAUAAUCUGCGACCAGAUCCGCAGUGACGGCUGCCUUGACGUGUCGCAGGCCGUGCGUUCCCUCCGGAGGAGGCGCUGCCAGUUUAUUCCUACUGUGGGACAGUACUCCUUCUGCUACACACUGGCUCAGAGUUAUCUGGAUUCAUUUGAAACCUAUGGGAACUUCAAGUAACAAAUAAUCCUGACCAGGGAUAUCCCCAGUCAUGGAACCACAAAGAUCCAGC